UCUCAACUCUCCUCUGAGUUUGUUAGCCUUUUAAGCUGUCUCCUCACCAAUGACUGAAACGAGAUGCAGGUGAUCUUAAUCUCCAAUCGACCUACUUGCCACAAAAACAUUUGAAAAGUGGACACGGAUGUAUUUCCUGAACUUGUUGCUGAAAGGGGCAUGUGCUUUUGUUUACAUACCAUUGAUGAUUUCACUCCUGCACAUGAGUGUUCCCCUGUUCUGACUGACAGGAAGUCUGUCAGCAAGUCUUCAACCUCAACUGAAUGCAAUGACGGCAACAAAACUGCUUCCUGCCCUUCCAAAAGACCCAGGUUGGAUAAUUCUCUAGCUAUAGACCCCAUUAACUGCCAUAGUGGGAAACAUGACAAUGUAAGUGAAAAGUGCCCCAGAAAUAUUUACUGUCUUUAAAAGUAUCUUAUUUUUUAUUCAACCGAAAAAAAAAAAAUUCUACUAUGGUAGUCAAUGGGGACCAGUAACUGUUACUUUUUUUCUUCCAAAUAUCUUUCUGUGUGUAUCAGACAAAGAGAAUUAAACAGAUUGUUUAGUAAAUGAUGACCGUUGUCAUAAUAUUCAGGUCCUUAAAGAAAAAAAGUGAUGGUG
Triplophysa dalaica is the source of this 600-nucleotide long non-coding RNA. RefSeq lists it as uncharacterized. NCBI's taxonomy places the organism in Eukaryota, Metazoa, Chordata, Actinopteri, Cypriniformes, Nemacheilidae. The transcript has 3 exons. The record is from RefSeq and is a predicted model, not a curated record.